AUGUCCAAAAACUUGCAAUCCUCCUGCCACAGUCUUCUGAGUUAGUGAGAUUAUAGGAGUGUACCACCAUGCUGGGCUCUUCAAAUGCUCAUUAAAUCCUACCUUCUUUUUCCUUUUAUUCUGGAAACCCUAUAACAAAGAUAUUAGAUCUUUUUUUAUACUCCUGCAGGUCCCUGCAGCUUGUUCAUUUUUUCUCACAGUAUAACUUUUCUCAGACUUUCAGUGUAAGAACUUUAUAUUGUUGUGUCUUCAGUUCACUCUCCCCUGUCCUCUGCAUUCUGCCAUUGAUUCCCUUAUUGAGUUUAUUUCAGUUUCAGCUAUUAUGUUUUUCAAUUCUAAAAUUGCCAUUUGAUUUUUGAUAUCUUCUCUUUUUUACUAAAGCUUUAUAUUUUAGUUUCUUUCAAGUGAGUUCUUAAUUGCCAAGUGAAGCAUUUUUAUGAUGUCUGCUUUAACUUUUUUUGACAUACACUUCUAUUUUAUGGCAUCAGUGUAGAUAUUGACUAUAUAUUUUCAUUCAUCUCAAGACCUUCCUGCAUCUUGCUAUGAGUGAUUUUUUAAUUGAAAUCAGAAUACUUUUCUAUGAUGUUAUUAGGAUCAAGAUUUUACUUAAUCUUUGCUUUAGCUGUCAUACCAUGACAUCACCACAGUAGAGGAAAGGAGAUGGAUUCCACUACAUUACUAUCUGUUGAGUAUGGUGGUUUAACCCUAACCUUCUUUGUCCUCUGUUGAUCCAUGAAAUCAGUGGUGAACUCCUUGUUACUUAUGGGUAAGGGUGAAUUUUCUCUUUCUGAGCUGGGCCUGCACUGGUAACUCCCUAGCUGGGAGGAUUACAGAUGUCUCUUUAUUGCCCAUCAUGUUUUCUACACUGACGUCUUGGGUAAUGAGGGCUUAUUACUAUGUGCUAGAGGUGAAAGGACUAGCUCCCUAUUAGGCCUCUUCUGAAACUUCAUAGGUGGGGAGGGUGUCAUUAUUUGUUAUCAGUGGUAGCACUCUAAGCACCCAAGUGCCUUUGCUGACUUGGGUGAAGGUAGGGGACAAAGGUUUUUCCUAUGACAUUUGGCUGAAAUAAAUAGUGUAUUUUCUAAAAGGUUUCCAUCAUGUUAGGCUACACCUUUACUGAUCCUUUACUUUGGUCUUUUGCCUUUCCCAUCUUGCCUUUCUUACCUUUAUUUUCCUUGCACCUGUUGAUAGUUUUUGGUCACCAACUUUUUCAGCUUCAUGUCUGGGAUAUAUGAUGCUAAAAAAGAUACCACGCUCUGGUAUUAAGUCCCAAGGUUCCAAUUUUAUCUGCUUUCUCUUCAUCUUGCACAGUCAAGCAUAGACCUUACUGGCUGAGUAUACAGUAAACAUUGGGUCUGCAAAUUUAUCAGUCUUUGAUGGAUCUGGUCUACAAAAUGGGACUGGAAUGUGUUCUGAGUCAACAGUGCUUUCCUAAGACACAAUGGUGAAAGGAACCCCUCACCUAUCCGUAAUCAAAGCAUACUUCAUGUCCACUAUAAAUGCUCAAGAUUUCUGAGCACCUAUGAUGUUUGGAGGGUUGGCCUGCUCUCUCUUCCUUCCUCCCUCUAGCUAACAGUGCUAGGAUUUUGAGAUACUCCUGAGGAACUCAGUGAGAGGUACUUUUCAGAGUACAUGAGUCCCUUGAACUGGGUGGGGACAAGUGCUGCACCUUCACAUGUUCACUCUCUAGGAGUAAAUCAAGGUAGCCUUGACUCAUGAGGCCUGGUAACUGGGUGGGAGGGAUUUCAGUGGAAUCCUGGGGUACCAGCUUAGAGGGAGUAUUGCCUCCAUCUGGUACAGGCUUCAGAGUUUGAGGUACAGGAAGCCCUUGGAGACAGGAAAGUCAGGGGUCCUAACAGAGGGACCACAGGAAUUAUCCCCUUGAAGUCUGACUGGGAUAUACACAGAAGCCUUGAAGGUAUAUCAGGCUAGUUCUCUGUGGCAUUCCCAAAUACAGGAACUAUGAUAUCACAGGUCUCUUCUGGCUACGGUUGGUUACCUGGCACCAUGUUGAGGUAGCUGCUGGGUCCAGCAUAGGUCCUGAGACAUGGAAAAUACUCAGUGAAGAUGUGGAUUACAUGACUGCAGGAACACAUUCAUCACUCUUGUGUAGGGCUUUAGUCUGGGCAGCUGUAGGUAAGGGUGAAUACGUGAGAAAGCAGAACAUAUGCCCACAAGCAACCCAACAGUCGAUCUUGAGACCAAGAGAAAGAAGUCAAGGACCUUGAAGAUUGGCUCAGAAGGUUUCUGGCAGCUGCCCUAGAGACCUAGGAUGGGAAAAGGUAGCAGAGAGCAGGCCAAGAAUUGUGCUAAAAGAGAGGCAGAACCACCUUAGGUAACUGAUAAAGUAUAUGUUCUGAUCCCUAGACUUGCUGGCUCCUGGGCAUAAACACAGUUGGUAGCUUACAUUCCUGAUGACAUUCACUAAAAGUGGGAAGUAGGCACCCCCAAACUGCCAUCCAUUUGCCUGGGAGGUUUGUCCCUGCAAGUUUACAAGCAGCACUAUUCACAAAGAAAUUCCUGAGAUGUGCAUGCCCCACCCAUACCUUCACAGACAAGGACCUCACAGGGCAGAGAGUCAGUCCAGAGCUGAACUCACACCCAGCACUGCCACCUCCCCACCCAAUGUGCCCUUCCCACCACCCGAGGAGCCAGAGGAGGCCCCAGAGCACCACCUCCAGCCUCUGAAAGGGAGCCAGACUCUUUCUACCCUCUUUUCACUUUGACUGAGAACUGAAGCCAAGCUGACAAGUGGUUUUUCUAGAAAGGCAGCAGUGUAAGCAUCCAGGCAGAAAAGGUGUCUGCAGAGACAGCCUCAUGCCCAGCAGGGGAUUCCCACACUCAGCACAGAACAAGAGAACUCAGACUUUGGGCAUGGAGCAGUACCAGGGUGAAAGACUUUUCCAACCGACAUGGUCAGGUAGCCAUUCUCCUUGAAGUACUGGGGGAUGGUGGAGAAGUUUCCUGCAUGCACCCUCCAGUAGGAGUUGAAGUCAUACAGGCGCGUGGUGUCAGGCCUCCUCCCAGUGAGGAAGGACACGCAGCUCGGGGCGCACACUGCUUGCUGUUAGGGAGCAGAAGCAGAGGUCAACAUCAUCACAGUAUAAUGUGUCUGCCAUCUCCAGGGUAACCAAGCAACCUCCCCAGGUCCUCAGCAACAGCCUGGUGGCUGAGUCAUGCAGAUCUCAAAGCCACACAGUGAGAUUUGGGCCUCACCCAGGUGCCAGAGAUUGCAUCCUCCUGGCAAGACAAGGCAGAAGUCAGCCCCUCAAACAAGCAGAUGCUUGUAUCUUCCAAUGAGACAGUGUCCCCAGUCACCCCAAGGGAGCAAUAUGCUUGGAGGCAGCUCCAAGAAGGGGCUCGUGGAGGAGGGCUACCAUGCAUGGCUAGUUGGCUGGCCCUUGCCCAUGGGAAGCAUUCUAUAGUACCAAGCCAUCGCCCCUACCAGGAGAGAGCUGGCCAAGGCCCUGAGCAUGUUAGGGCCAGGAUACCCUCCACCCAAUGAAGUGAGGCGGCCUUGAAGGCACAAGAUUCCUUAAGUGGAUAAUCACAUUUCUUGGACCACAAUUUUCCAGAAUAUGCUUCCCUCUUUCAGGCAGGUAUCUGGCACACUCAGUACCACCAAACAGUAGCUGAAGGGACCCCAACCCUCAGUGCACAAGGAGGCACACCUCCAUAACUAGAAGUCCCCAGACUUACCUGGGCAAAGGCAUUCUGGAAAAGGGGUGUGGCUGAUUUAUAUUUCAUCAUCUCAAUUGUUUCCUUUUACAAUUUGACAUGGUAUGACAGGAUUUAAUCUAGAAAAUUACAGACAACAUGGUAAGGGGAGUAGAUUUGGGAAAACAGUGGAGUUGUUAAAUAGUUGAAGGAGAAAUUUCAAUCAGUCCCACGGGGAAUUCUGCAAUAUAGUCCCCUCCAUCUCAGCCAGCUACUCAGAUCUUCAUCCCUGAAGGUUCUGAGCCCCUUGACCCCUGUUCCCAGGUUAUGGAACAUACCCUUAUCAAUUUAUUAUGGAAAUCAGGGGAUCACCAAGACACAUUUGAGUGGAUCACCUGGUUACCAAACCUAUCCCUCUAUUCCUAUUAUGUGAGAACAUACCUGCCUCCUCCUGAUGACCAGGGCCCAUGACUCCUGAUAGGAUGGAUGACUCUUUCUCAUGCUUGUGGGGUCCAUAAUAUGAAGAACCCAAGGUGCCCAUGACUUGUAAUUCACUUGUCAGCCAUGCUUGGUAGUUAAUGGAACUCUUACUGUGACUCCUGGUGUAAUCAUUCCCAUUUGGGAAACCAGAGUGCCUAGCCCACACUGUUCAAUAAGGACCACUAGACCCAUGUGGCUACUGAGUAUUUGAAAUGUGGCUAUUGUAACUGAGGAACUUAAUAUGUAGUUGUAUUUUAUCGUGAUUUAAAUAGUCAAAUGUGGCUAGUGGUUACCAUAUUGGACAGUGCUGGUCUAACUACAGAACCCAAAGUUGUGGGGGCAGGCAUCACAAAUUCCUGAUCAUGGGAAGAGAUAGUAAGUGGGGUUACCACAGCUCUUGACUCCCUGAUACCAGACCCAAAUAGGCCUUCAUGGCCUUGUGCUUUGUUCUUAGUAGUGGGAGGUGUGACAUGUCAUCAUUUGUCCCUUAUUUCUAGAGAACGUGUGGCAUGCUCCUGACUACCAUAUCACUGAACACUAAUUUAAUAUGGCAGACUCCUGAGUCUUUUCAAGAUUGAUCUACCAUGUGAAGUGUCCAUAUCUAUCUAAGGCUGCUAACAUCCCUGCCACAUCUUGCUCACCCAGUUGUUAAUAUGAUUUCAUUGAUAAAGUGACAUUUGGAAGCUGUGUGGGAUGAUGCUUGUGGUGACUAAUCACUUCACAUGUGGUGCUUGAGCUGAAUCUGGAAGUGUCUGCCAUUGCUUAUGUGUUCUAGGAAUGUUAGUUUUAAUGUACAGACUUUUUGCUAGAUUUCCCAAGAUUGGGAAAGUAUUCUCAGAGCUGGUGGGUGUUGGAAGUAUUCUACCUUAAGUACAGAAAUCCACAAGUACUCAAUUCCUUCUCUAGGUGGACCCACACCCUGAGGGACCUAACUACGUCUUGAUAAACAUGCUGGGAGGCUGUCUCUGAGGAAAAAGGGAGACAAUAUAUGACUUUCUUGGUAUAUAACUAUAGUAUCCCUGGAAACAAAAUCACUAGAUUUUUUUCUUACCUUCUACUUUUGAUAUUUGACUGUUAUUGAGUCUAGUUUGGGGAAAAUAGAAGUGACAUGUAUGUUGGGACCUGUCUUGUACCCUGCUAGACUCAGGGACAAACUGAAUCAAACUGGGUUAUAUUUGCUGGAGCACGGUGAGCAAAGCUAGAGAGUAGGCAGUGAGGGUGAGUACAUGUGAAUUGACAGGUGGAGGCUCAGCCAAUGCCUAUAUUAACAGUAUUUGUGGAAAAAAAAAUAAGCAAAUAGAAUGGGUAGGGAAGGAUCAAUUAAAGUCUUCCACAGAAAUAAGAGAGCUUAAAGGGAAAGUUUUUCCUGGGUACUCAGAUGCUAGAGGUGAAAGAAGCAAAAAGAUAUAUCUUCUCAAGCAAAAGAUGAGAACAACUUAAUUCUAAUUCUGAGGAGUUUCAGGAACAGGAGUCUAGCUGAGAGAGUGGGGAGACAAGUGGUGACCAGGGGACAGAUGGAAGGUCUACAGUGCUGAGAAACAGUCUAUAGCCUAGACUUCAGUUUCUGACUCAGGAGAACCUCCAAGAAUGCUAGGGAUUGCAGGGAGGACCAGAAAUGCUAAGAACUGCAUUUUUAAUAGGGUCCUUGUCCUCAGGACAGGCCUGGGAAAAGGCAAAUAGGAAUCAGAAAGAGAAAAGGGAAUGAGCUGCAGGGAAUAUGCACCCUUAUAGGGCACGCCAUCAAUGACCCACCUCCUGCAGGCAUGCCCCAUCUGCCUACAGCAUUUUUUACUUGUGGCUGUAAAAAUUGUCUCCUGUUAUUGAACCUUCCUGGGAAUUGGUUGACAUGGGGUCUCAGCCCAGCCCUUCCAUUGACAGCCUGGGAGACAUUGACUCCACAUCUUGGAGAGUGUGGCUACGUGUGCAACUCUGUGCAUGAGUAGAAGUGGGAUAUCUGGAGCCUAUCUUCCAGACUUCUUUGAGGAAGGCCUUAAGAAGUAAGGAGUGGCAUGGAGAUCCUGGCCUGAGCCUUGAAGACUACAGACUGAAAUGGGCAGUGAAAAGCCUCCAGCCUGAAAAGAAGAAAAAGGCGCUUUGGGCCCUUAGGGCCUCCAUCACAAAGGUCCUCUAGGGUAUGUCCUGUUGAGAGCCGAAGCGGAAGCGGGCCCCAGCAAACUUCCAGCUGAUUGGCUCCUCUGCGGUAGUGCUCAUUGGGCUGUUUCCCUGCCCUUUCAGACCACGGAGCUGCUCAUUUGGGGGACUCUUUUGGCUCCGCCCACACGACCCAGCCAAUCUGCCUCAAGAGCAGGACCUAAGGGUUCCAGUUGAGGUGCUCAAAUUCCCCAAAGAGCCCGUGGUGGCAGUUGGGCUCUUGGGGAAUUCCUGGAGAGCUCACGUGGUGUGGCAUGUGUUCAAAAAAUAAAGUUCGUUCCUGCUUGA
Non-coding RNA from Ictidomys tridecemlineatus (thirteen-lined ground squirrel), 6576 nucleotides. The record is from RefSeq and is a predicted model, not a curated record. NCBI's taxonomy places the organism in Eukaryota, Metazoa, Chordata, Mammalia, Rodentia, Sciuridae.